GUAGGGGCCAAACGUUAUCCGGAUUUAUUGGGCGUAAAGGGCUCGUAGGCGGUUCAACAAGUCGGCCGUGAAAGCUCGGGGCUCAACCCCGAGAUGCCGGUCGAAACUGUUGUGACUAGGGUCCGGUAGAGGUGAGUGGAAUUCUCGGUGUAGCGGUGGAAUGCGCAGAUAUCGAGAGGAACACCAGUAGCGAAGGCGGCUCACUGGGCCGGUACCGACGCUGAGGAGCGAAAGCGUGGGGAGCAAACAGGAUUAGAUACCCUGGUAGUCCACGCUGUAAACGUUAACACUAGGUGUGGCGGAUUUAUUGACAUCUGCCGUACCGCAGCUAACGCAUUAAGUGUUCCGCCUGGGGGAGUACGGCCGCAAGGCUA
This 374-nucleotide ribosomal RNA is filed under the name uncultured organism. RNAcentral describes it as "partial 16S ribosomal RNA". It matches the Rfam family "Bacterial small subunit ribosomal RNA", at positions 527 to 896 of the family's 1533-position model. The record is from RNAcentral.